UUAAGAAUAUUAAUUAUAAAGUCAUGCUCCGAAAGGUUUAUCUUUUAAAUCAUUAAAAAGUAAUUAUUAGUAAUGUACCUUUUGCAUCAGGGGUUAAGAAAUAAAAUUAUCAAAUUAAUAACCUCCCGAAAGAAGUAGGAUCUUAAACUUUAUUGUUGGUUGUUGUUUCAUUAACAUUAAUAAUGAUAUUUAAGAAGCUAAAAGUUAUAACGACUCUUCUGAUCACCUGGUUUGCUAUUUAAUGUCUUUUAAGAAGGCAAAGAGUUAAUUGAAGUUUAAGUACUUUAUUAUUUUCUUUUAAUUAUAAAGGGACAAGCUUUUAUAACUCUAGGAAGAGCAAUUUAUAGUUUAUCUUCAUGACAAGAUAGACGUUAUUUAUCUAUUUAUAGAUCUACCUUUAGAAUAGCAUCUUUAGUGAAAUAAUUUUUAACUAUAAAAAUAAUCUUAACAUUAGUACUUCAAUAAAUCAAUUACUAAAAGGAACUAGGCAAGCAUUUAGCCGGACUGUUUAAUAAAAACAUUUCCUCUUGUGUAAAAAGGAGGUAAAGCCUGCUCGGUGUAACUGAUUAACAGCUGCAGUAAUUUGACUGUACAAAGGUAGCGUAAUCAUUUGUCUUUUAAUUGAAGACUAGAAUGAACGGCUUAACCAAGCUAAUUCUGUCUCUUUU
This 668-nucleotide ribosomal RNA is filed under the name Pediculus humanus corporis (human body louse). RNAcentral describes it as "partial large subunit ribosomal RNA". The stretch from base 497 to 654 matches the Rfam family "Archaeal large subunit ribosomal RNA", at positions 1884 to 2089 of the family's 2987-position model. The record is from RNAcentral. Lineage: Eukaryota; Metazoa; Arthropoda; Insecta; Psocodea; Pediculidae.